This 1335-nucleotide long non-coding RNA is filed under the name Anas platyrhynchos platyrhynchos (common mallard). Its description in RNAcentral is "lncRNA (ENSAPLG00000031199.1)". The record is from RNAcentral. Lineage: Eukaryota; Metazoa; Chordata; Aves; Anseriformes; Anatidae.
ACCACCUGAGGAGGGGGUUGUUGUGGGGCACAUCAGUAUUUAUAGACCUAACAGCGAAUGUCCCUCUUUUCUCAUCCCAGGCUUACAGAAUUUUUUGGGUUGAAGAAAAAAAAAAAAAAAGAGAAUAAAGGUAUCAAGUGCAGAAUUAAAAAAAUAAAAUAAAAAUCCAGAUUGUUUUGGCCACCCUGGCUGAGAAGCAUGCCUUUUCUUCCAUUAAAAGCCCAAAUUGAAAUGCCAUAUGUGAGCCAUCAGCAUAAUUCAAAUGUGUGAAAAAUAACCAGCCUCUUCUUUUAUUUCCCUUCCCCAACCUCCCAUCUCAUCUCUAUUUUUCUUCUGUGGCUCAGCCCUGUGUUAAGUAAGCCCUGAGAGGUGAUGGGGAACAUCUUGGGCCACCUGUUCUCAGCAGCCUCAGGAAGAAGGGCUGUACCGGGGGGUAGGCUCCUGGGGGAGGCUCAGCCCUUUGUAAUUAGGACAAUCAAUUAUUGACUCAUACAAAAGCCUGAGAGAGAAAAAGAAAGGUUUUUGCAGCUUGCUCAGUAAUGCAUUCAGUUGCAGGAGGCAGUCAUUUAUUUAUUUAUUUAUUAUUUUUAGUUUUUGGAUUUUUUUUUUUUUGGCCCUUGAUGCUUCAAGAAUAAGCACUAUGAAAUCCUUCCCUGUCUGGGAAGCUGGAAACCAGAUCUGCUCCUCACCUAGCUUCAACAUGGGAAACAUCCGUGGAUGCACUCAUGGCACUUGAGCAAAAAGGAUCUGUACACGGAGCCUGAUGCUUGGAGAACUCCCUGUUCUUGAAGGGUGUUGGAAACCGUGCCCGAAUUCCUUGUGUCUCUGAAGAUUUCAACCAUGCAUGUCAACACUGGGAUCUGAAAGCAGCUGCACUGGAGAAAUGUUCCCAGAUAAAAAUGACUCAUUAGCAGGGCCUGGGCUGAAGCCAUGAUUAUUUUGAAUAGAGUGCCACUUGUCCUACCUCCAGCAGCCGGUCUGUUCCAGAGAGGCUACACAGGAUGGAUGACCUUUGUUCAUUAACACAUGGGCAUCCCUCCCCAGUAGUAGCUUUCACAUGCUGAAAUUACUCACUUGACAUCCAAAUAUUAAUGGAAAAUGUCUUUUUAAUACUGAAAGCUAUUCCACUCUCGCAUUGAUGUCCAAACCAUAGCCUUUUGGAUGUGCUUCUGACAUGCUGCUGCUUUCUCCGAAGGAACUAUCUCCUGCAAAUUGUACGCAGUUAAUAGGAAAGGAAUGCCUAUCUCAAGCACUUAGAUCAUGAAGGUGCUUCAUACAAAACUGCAAAUUUUAACACCAAAUAAACUAGAAUUUCCUCUUGCUUUUUGGUAUAGA